CAGCCGCCACGGGAAUACGUAGGUGGCAAGCGUUGUCCGGAAUUAUUGGGCGUAAAGGGCUCGCAGGCGGUUUCUUAGGUCUGAUGUGAAAGCCCCCGGCUCAACCGGGGAGGGUCAUUGGAAACUGGGAAACUUGAGUGCAGAAGGGGAGAGUGGAAUUCCACGUGUAGCGGUGAAAUGCGUAGAGAUGUGGAGGAACACCAGUGGCGAAGGCGACUCUCUGGUCUGUAACUGACGCUGAGGAGCGAAAGCGUGGGGAGCGAACAGGAUUAGAUACCCCCGUAGUCCCUGUCUCUUAUAU
Molecule: ribosomal RNA, 301 nt
Filed under: uncultured bacterium
Lineage: Bacteria
Description: partial 16S ribosomal RNA
Rfam family: Bacterial small subunit ribosomal RNA
Source: RNAcentral